Molecule: small RNA, 289 nt
Filed under: Methylocella silvestris BL2
Lineage: Bacteria; Pseudomonadati; Pseudomonadota; Alphaproteobacteria; Hyphomicrobiales; Beijerinckiaceae
Description: 5' ureB small RNA
Rfam family: 5' ureB small RNA
Source: Rfam by way of RNAcentral
CUUCCUCGAUCUGUUGCGGCGCAAUGAAAUGAAUAUGCGUGUCGACGCCGCCGGCGGUCAGGAUCUUGCCCUCGCCGGCAAUGAUCUCGGUGCCCGGCCCGAUGGUGAUGGUGACGCCCGGCUGAAUAUCCGGAUUGCCGCCCUUGCCAAUCGCGGCGAUGCGUCCGUCCUUCAGGCCGACAUCGGCUUUUACGACGCCCGUAUGAUCGAGAAUGACGACAUUGGUGAUCAAUGUGUCGACCGCGCCCUCGGCGCGCGAGCGCUGGCUCUGCCCCAUGCCGUCGCGGAU